GACGAACGCUGGCGGCGUGCUUAACACAUGCAAGUCGAACGAUGAACCCGGAGCUUGCUCCGGUGGAUUAGCGGCGAACGGGUGAGUAACACGUGAGUAACCUGCCCUUGACUCUGGGAUAACUGCGGGAAACUGUAGCUAAUACCGGAUACGACCCUCGGCGGCAUCGCCAGGGGGUGGAAAGAAUUUCGGUCAAGGAUGGACUCGCGGCCUAUCAGCUAGUUGGUGAGGUAACGGCUCACCAAGGCGACGACGGGUAGCCGGCCUGAGAGGGUGACCGACCACACUGGGACUGAGACACGGCCCAGACUCCUAUGGGAGGCAGCAGUGGGGAAUAUUGCACAAUGGGCGCAAGCCUGAUGCAGCAACGCCGCGUGAGGGAUGACGGCCCUCGGGUUGUAAACCUCUUUUAGUAGGGAAGAAGCGAAAGUGACGGUACCUGCAGAAAAAGCACCGGCUAACUACGUGCCAGCCGCCGCCGUAA
RNAcentral lists this ribosomal RNA (484 nucleotides) under uncultured bacterium. Its description in RNAcentral is "partial 16S ribosomal RNA". It matches the Rfam family "Bacterial small subunit ribosomal RNA", at positions 28 to 523 of the family's 1533-position model. The record is from RNAcentral.